AUGUGUCUACCAAAAAUCAAGGGAGGCAUGGGAUUUAGGGAUCUCCAUGCUUUCAAUUUAGCUAUUCUUGCUAAGUAAAGUUGGAGGCUUUUAUCUCAGCCAGAUACGUUAUGUGCAAGAAUUCUCCGGGCCAAAUAUUACCCGGAUGGAAACCUGCUCAAAGCAGGGCCGAAAAAAGGAUCCAGUUUUACUUGGCAAAGUAUUUUUGCGGGACUCCAAACCUUUCAGAGAGGUCAUAUUUGGAGAAUUGGCUCAGGAGAGAAAAUUAGUAUUUGGGACGAUCACUGGAUUCCAUCUAGUCAGGCACGUAUGGUUAUGACUAGACGUGGAAAUACUUUGUUGAGAACAGUUAAUGGUGCUGGAUACAUCAGCUGGGAUGAGGAUCUCGUUAGGAGUGUAUUUUUGUCGGUGGAUGCAGAAAGAAUCAAACUACCUCUCUCGGAGCACCUCACUGAGGACUUUGUUGCAUGGAAUCAUACUAAAUCUUUUUCGUUCUCAAUUCCUUCUGCAUAUUACGUGGAAUGGGAACAUCAAUUUGGCACAAAAUUCACUAGCAGUCAGAUCACUUCUUUUAAAAAUCUGGUCCGGGAGACAGUUUGGAAGCUAGAGGUUCCAAGCAAGGUAAGGAUAUUCAUAUGGUGGGCGCUUCACGGCUUGAUCCCUGGUAUGGCCGUACUAGCUCGCAGACACAAUAAAGUUUCUCCUAUGUGCCCGGUCUGCAAGAAGGACCUUGAAGAUAUGAAACAUCUGCUUUUUACUUGCGGACGAGCUUGCGCAGUAUGGAGGGCUCUCGAUCUAGAUGACGUCAUA
This 810-nucleotide ribosomal RNA is filed under the name Triticum aestivum (bread wheat). RNAcentral's name for it is "partial small subunit ribosomal RNA". The record is from RNAcentral. Lineage: Eukaryota; Viridiplantae; Streptophyta; Magnoliopsida; Poales; Poaceae.